This is a long non-coding RNA of Brassica napus (rape), 1801 nucleotides long. RefSeq lists it as uncharacterized. The transcript is spliced from 6 exons. Lineage: Eukaryota; Viridiplantae; Streptophyta; Magnoliopsida; Brassicales; Brassicaceae. The record is from RefSeq and is a predicted model, not a curated record.
AAAAAUAAAUAUAUAGUUCAAUUUUUAUAUAAAAUAAAUCACACAUAAAUAUAUAUAUAUAUAUAAAUAUAUAUAUAUAUAUAAUUCUGUUUAAAUAGAUAAGAUAACUAUUCUUUCUGUUAUAAAUUUUAAUUUGUCUUUAAAAAUUGUUGUUUUAUAUAUUUAAUGUAAAAUUUUACAUAAAAUUCAUUUUUAGUUCUUUUAUUUUAUUGUAUUAAUUAAAGAGAUAAAAAAUAUUUAAUAUGUGAAUAAAAUAUAAAAUUAAAUGUUUAAUAUGAUCUAUUGUCUCAAGUAAAUCCACAACGACCACAAAUUGUUUUACUAGUAUAAUUUUCAACAGUGAUAUAAUGUAAGUGAGUAAUUACCACAAAAGUAGAGUAAUUAUUAACUCAUCCGAUGUCGAGAUGUGGUUGGCGAGGAACAAAACAAAAGACUGUUCAUACGUUUAAAACGAACACCACAUUUAAAAUUUAGAUAGAUACUGCAUGAAGAUGCCAUAUGUCUUGAGACCAACAUAAUGAGCAGUGACAGUGCAAAAAUGAAUUGUUCGCUGUUAUCAGUUUACGUCCACGCCAUAUGCCAUGUAAGACCAUCGUUAUCGCAAUUUCUUUGCAGAGGUUUUAAACAAAAGUAGGCAUUUAAUUAAAUCAAAAUUAAAGAAAAUUAAAGUAACCGAUCCUCGAUACAAGGUUUUGACAACAGAUUAUAGAGAGGUUUCUUGAUACACAGCAGACUGUUAUUUAGAAACUUUUUUUUUCUUUUUUUUUUCUUUUUUUUCUUUUCCUUUCUCUCCUCUUCUCUCGUGUUCUUCGACUCGGAAGAAAAGCGACAGAGAUGCCCGCUUGAUCGCCGGCAUUCUGUUUCUCUCCGGCCGCCGAGUCUUUCACCUUUUUUUACUAAGAUUGCAAAAAGAGUAUGGUGAGUGAAUGAUCGUGAGACAAUCGAAAGUUGAGGAAUUUGGAGAGAUUGGAGAACUCCGACGGAAAGACACUUCCUUGCGUUCGCACCUACGAGAACGACUCAGCUAGGCUCAGCCUCAUCGGUACAGUAGCCUUCGAUCUGGCUUUAACCGCCGCUGCAGCCGACAAUGAUCAUCUUCGUGAAAAUGUCCCCGUCAUGGUGGUCGAGACUGUUUUCCCUGGAGGAUCCGACCCGAAGGCUACUGUCUCAACCCGAUUGUUCUUGCCUACUAAGAAAGUUAAAGAGCGAGUAACAUGACACAAGAGGAGGCAUGAAGUUGGUUGCUGUUUCUAAAAAACAUAAGUUGGUUGUUGUUUCUAAAAAAACACGAGGCAUGAAGUUGGUAGAAAGUGACUUGGGAGUGGAAGAAUCACGGACUUGUGUCUUGUGGUGAUUGUGUACUUUGUUGAUUGUAUCAUUACAGGGAAUCAAAAUCAUCCAAGCAGCAGUUGGUGCUGGCCGUACAAUACUGAUAAGUGAUAGUGGAAACGUUUACUCGUGUGGGAAAGAUUCGUUCGGUGAAGCUGAAUACAGAGGGCAAGGGUCUAAUGUUCCUGGUCUUGUUGUCUAGUUCGUAUGUCAGGAUCACUCACUCUAUCUUUAAAGAACAUCAAGAAUGGCUCGAGAAAGGUGUGUGUGUGUGUGUUGGAGUGUCUGUUGUAGUGUCACGAGAUAUGUGUGUAUGUUGUAGUUGUUGUCUUGUGGCACAUACACUUUAUAAAUCACAAGAGAAGUGUUGUUGUCGUCGUCUUGUGUCACGGGUGAUUUAUAAAUCACGAGAAGUUGUAGCUGUUCUCUUGUGUCACAGACACUUUAUAAAUCACAAACACACUUGAUUCUC